GAUGAACGCUGGCGGCGUGCCUAAUACAUGCAAGUCGAGCGCACAGAUCAGGAGCUUGCUCCUUUGACGUUAGCGGCGGACGUGUGAGUAACACGUGGGUAACCUACCUAUAAGACUGGAAUAACUCCGGGAAACCGGGGCUAAUGCCGGAUAACAUUUAGAACCGCAUGGUUCUAAAGUGAAAGAUGGUUUUGCUAUCACUUAUAGAUGGACCCGCGCCGUAUUAGCUAGUUGGUAAGGUAACGGCUUACCAAGGCAACGAUACGUAGCCGACCUGAGAGGGUGAUCGGCCACACUAGAACUGAGACACGGUCCAGACUCCUACGGGAGGCAGCAGUAGGGAAUCUUCGGCAAUGGGCGAAAGCCUGACGGAGCAACGCCGCGUGAGUGAUGAAGGUCUUCGGAUCGUAAAACUCUGGUAUUAGGGAAGAACAAAUGUGUAAGUAACUGUGCAGGUCUUGACGGUACCUAAUCAGAAAGCCACGGCUAACUACGUG
This 497-nucleotide ribosomal RNA is filed under the name uncultured bacterium. RNAcentral's name for it is "partial 16S ribosomal RNA". It matches the Rfam family "Bacterial small subunit ribosomal RNA", at positions 28 to 507 of the family's 1533-position model. The record is from RNAcentral.